Molecule: microRNA precursor, 173 nt
Organism: Medicago truncatula (barrel medic)
Lineage: Eukaryota; Viridiplantae; Streptophyta; Magnoliopsida; Fabales; Fabaceae
Rfam family: MIR2619 microRNA precursor family
Source: Rfam
AAACAACCCCCUAUGUUUUGAUUCUUUGGCAGUUUUGGACCCCCAAGGCAAAAAAUAAAAAAUAAAAAAUUGACAUGCGGCACCUCACUUAGGGUGCCACGUCAGCGUUGACUGAGUCAACAAUGGAUUGGGGGUCCAAAACUGUCAAAGAAUCAAAACAUAGGGGGCUGUUU